GCCAGCAAAACGGAGGGCACGCUGACUCACACUGCACCAACACGCUCCCCGCCAACCUGUGCUCUGCCGCACCGCCCGCCGGUACCAGUGCCAAAACCACGGUCUUGCUUGCUUCCCACCGUAUCACGUCGUCUUCCUGCCCGGCCACACGCCGGUUGCGCGGUUUCCUGCAACCUAUAAGUUCUACCGGAGGACCUCGCUCUGCCCAUCUCAUAUCACUUCACUGCCACUACUAGUUCACUUCCUUCGGAUCUCGCUCGUGCCUCCAAGCUCUCUUCCACGGCCUCGAAGAUGUCGACGGUGACCCCUGCCUACCUCGACCAGAGGCUCACCGCCGCCAAGCGCUGCUCCAGAGAGGCUGCCAUAGCGGGAGCCAAGGCCGCGGCCGUCGCCACCGUCGCUGCCGCAGUCCCCACCCUGGCGAGGAGAGCAUUUGGGUGCUCUAGCUCACCUCCUAUGCACACGAGGUGUUCGAUGAAAUGCCCAAGCCACGCUAGUUAAGUUUUCUCCUCUCG
This is a long non-coding RNA of Triticum aestivum (bread wheat), 515 nucleotides long. RefSeq lists it as uncharacterized. NCBI's taxonomy places the organism in Eukaryota, Viridiplantae, Streptophyta, Magnoliopsida, Poales, Poaceae. The record is from RefSeq and is a predicted model, not a curated record. The transcript is spliced from 3 exons.